This 253-nucleotide ribosomal RNA is filed under the name uncultured bacterium. RNAcentral's name for it is "partial 16S ribosomal RNA". It matches the Rfam family "Bacterial small subunit ribosomal RNA", at positions 524 to 776 of the family's 1533-position model. The record is from RNAcentral.
UACGGAGGGCGCGAGCGUUAAUCGGAAUUACUGGGCGUAAAGCGUGCGUAGGCGGCGCGCCAAGCCAGGCGUGAAAGCCCCGGGCUCAACCUGGGAACUGCGCUUGGGACUGGCGUGCUGGAGUUUGGGAGAGGCAGGCGGAAUUCCGGGUGUAGCGGUGAAAUGCGUAGAUAUCCGGAGGAACACCCGUGGCGAAGGCGGCCUGCUGGCCCAAAACUGACGCUGAGGCACGAAAGCGUGGGUAGCAAACAGG